RNAcentral lists this long non-coding RNA (1440 nucleotides) under Homo sapiens (human). RNAcentral's name for it is "non-protein coding FRG1-DT:17". The record is from RNAcentral. Lineage: Eukaryota; Metazoa; Chordata; Mammalia; Primates; Hominidae.
GCGCUGUGGAACCGCCUCCUGCUAGAGCAGCGGGCUGGCGACGGUCCUCGCCGGGGCGGGAAGCGGCUCAGGCUGCCCUCGCUGGCCUGCGGCGGCGCGGCUGGAAGCGCGGGCCACUCGUGCGUGGGUCACUCAGGACUGCGCCUCGCGCGACUGUGUGUGCAGGAAACAAGCAGGAAAUACCCUAAAAGAGAAUGAAGCGCCAUGUUGAGGGUCGCGGACGUCGCGAGUGCUGUGGGAAUGUGGGCUGAGGUGGAGAGUUAUGGUAGCCCGUGUUACAGGCUCAGGGGUCUGAAAGAAGCCUAAUCGUGGAGGCGGCAUCUGAGGAGGGUCUUGAAGGCUGGGCAGGCAUUUGCCCGACAGAGAUGGAGGAAGCUAGUCCUGUCUGAUGGAGGAAACAGGGCGGAGGCGUGGAGGGAGCCGUGCAGCGCUGGUGUGAGGAGCAGCGAGCAGGCCAGGCCUGUAAAGCAGAGUGAGGGAACCAGGAUAGAGAAGGCAAGUCGGGGUCCUGUGGUCGCUGAAGAAUUUGAAUGAAAUCAGUAAACAGGUGAGAGGGAUCCAUCGCAAGAGCAUGGGAUGAAAGGAGGAGUAGUCCACGGUGAUUCCUCUGCAGCGGUGGGUGUUAUUAAUCGCGUAUGUGACACCAAAACCACCCCACUCAAGCUGUGGCUCUUUCCCUAAAGUAGAAAACCGAGACCAGUUGGGUUCCAAGCAUCCACGAAGAUCUUAUUAAAUUCGUGAUCCCUGGUGGCACCAUGGAGUCAGGAUUGGCUCAUCUCAAACCUGACUCAGAAACAAAACCGUCACAAUGUGCAGAGAUGAGCGUCCUUACCGCUAUCAACGUAUUUUCUGGUGUUUUCACAGUGCUGCGCUUCCUAAUCCCCAUUCCAUGGCAAUCCACAUGCCAUGAUGCCCGGAGUCAUUAACAAAGGAGACACACAGGGGCUCCUCACGUUGGCUUUCCAGGGUUUUGAUGAAAAUCUGUUUCCUCGUCUCAUACAAUGUGGCUGUACAGGAAGCAUGGUGAUGGCAUCUGCAUGGCGCCUGUGGAGGCCCCAGGGAGCUUUUACUCAUGAUGGAAGGCACAGAGGGAGUAGGCACAUCACAUGGUCCGAGGAGGAGCAAGAGAAAAUGGGAGUGGGGAUACUGCAUAGUGGAUGGAUUAGUCUGUGGUUCCUGGGAUCUUCUGUGUAUUCUGUUGAAGCUCAAUAAUCACAUUACUGCGGACCUCCAAAAUUUUACAAAGGACUGCAUAGCUUUGGAUUCACCUUGAAAACAUCCCCUCUGAACAUCAGAAGUCCACUUGGUCCCCGAACAGUGUAUUAACUUCUAACAUUUCUGACUUCCAGUCAUGGAGAUUUCAAAACCAAUUGCAUAUAGCAAUGAAGCUUUUCACUUUUAAUGGAACAUUUAGGAGAAGGGCGGCUUUUCCUAUUUUCU